RNAcentral lists this ribosomal RNA (465 nucleotides) under Vreelandella stevensii. Its description in RNAcentral is "partial 16S ribosomal RNA". It matches the Rfam family "Bacterial small subunit ribosomal RNA", at positions 338 to 795 of the family's 1533-position model. The record is from RNAcentral. Lineage: Bacteria; Pseudomonadati; Pseudomonadota; Gammaproteobacteria; Oceanospirillales; Halomonadaceae.
CCUACGGGCGGCUGCAGUGGGGAAUAUUGGACAAUGGGGGGAACCCUGAUCCAGCCAUGCCGCGUGUGUGAAGAAGGCCCUCGGGUUGUAAAGCACUUUCAGUGAGGAAGAACGCCUGGAGGUUAAUACCCAUCAGGAAAGACAUCACUCACAGAAGAAGCACCGGCUAACUCCGUGCCAGCAGCCGCGGUAAUACGGAGGGUGCGAGCGUUAAUCGGAAUUACUGGGCGUAAAGCGCGCGUAGGUGGCUUGAUAAGCCGGUUGUGAAAGCCCCGGGCUCAACCUGGGAACGGCAUCCGGAACUGUCAAGCUAGAGUGCAGGAGAGGAAGGUAGAAUUCCCGGUGUAGCGGUGAAAUGCGUAGAGAUCGGGAGGAAUACCAGUGGCGAAGGCGGCCUUCUGGACUGACACUGACACUGAGGUGCGAAAGCGUGGGUAGCAAACAGGAUUAGAUACCCUGGUAGUC